GCAAGGCCAUGAUCUGCAAGGUUGCAAGCCAACCCACCAAAUCUCUUGGGCAAGAACUAAGGAAGGAGCAAGGGCAGAAACCUGAGCCAGUGUCCAGCUCUUUGCUGGGGAGGUGGGGAAGGAGCUACAAAAGCCACAGGCCCUGUGGGUUUCCACCAAGGACACCAGAAAUAAUCUGAUACCGAUAAUAUCAGUGAUCCACUCUUCUAUUAUCAGCAGUAUCGAAGAACUAGAGGCUUCCAAAAAUAGCAACUGCAUCAAAAGCGUGCUUUGUUCCUAUAUUUGUGUUCUUCUCUGUGAUCCUUUCCAUAUGAAAUUCAGAUUUUGCCAGAGUCUUUUGGCCAGGUCCCCAUGUGGAACUGGCUUGGAAGGUAUGGUUUGGCUGAGGCCCUGGCAGAGCUGGUUUGGGAACACUUUAGGGAUCGCACAGAAGCUGACCUUGAGACAACGAUUUUAUGCAACUUAGCAAAAGUAACACAAUGAUUUAUUGAACUAGAAGUGACUAUCACAGAAAAGCUAUCUUAUGAAUUCCAUUUGUCCACUGCUAUGAAUUUAUGAGUGGUAUCACAGGUGUUUUUAUAAAUGCAUAAUCCUGGGCAAUCAAUCUAUGCAGCUGUAGUAUAGGUCAAUCUACCUUUCAAACAUUCCUUCAGUAUUUUGGCUUUUGUAUACUUUUGUGGUUUUUUAGCACUUCCAGCUUCCUGUUCCCAAAGGCAAACAAGUAAUUGUAAAGGUAAGCAGAGAGCUCAGUGUUCAGUAAGGUUUUGGAAAUGUUUUUGUAGUUUACUUAUCAUGAAAAGAUCAGUGGACAGCUUUUAGCAUGGCUUUUAGUGAUACAUUUGAUUACAUUAUCAAUAACUGCAUAGUAAUGGAUUCCCACUGUUUCUUUCCAAUGUAGGUAGUUGCUGGUGGUGCUUUCUGGUAAAAGAAGAGGAAAG
Molecule: long non-coding RNA, 938 nt
Organism: Neopsephotus bourkii (Bourke's parrot)
Lineage: Eukaryota; Metazoa; Chordata; Aves; Psittaciformes; Psittacidae
Exons: 4
Source: RefSeq, a predicted model, not a curated record